GUGUCAGCAGCCGCGGUAAUACGUAGGUGGCAAGCGUUGUCCGGAAUUAUUGGGCGUAAAGCGCGCGCAGGUGGUUUCUUAAGUCUGAUGUGAAAGCCCGCGGCUCAACCGUGGAGCGUCAUUGGAAACUGGGAGACUUGAGUGCAGGAGAGGAAGGUGGAAUUCCAUGUGUAGCGGUGAAAUGCGUAGAGAUGUGGAGGAACACCAGUGGCGAAGGCGACUUUCUGGUCUGUAACUGACACUGAGGCGCGAAAGCGUGGGGAGCAAACAGGAUUAGAUACCCCAGUAGUCC
RNAcentral lists this ribosomal RNA (292 nucleotides) under uncultured prokaryote. Its description in RNAcentral is "partial 16S ribosomal RNA". It matches the Rfam family "Bacterial small subunit ribosomal RNA", at positions 505 to 796 of the family's 1533-position model. The record is from RNAcentral.